Manihot esculenta (cassava) is the source of this 87-nucleotide small nucleolar RNA. RefSeq annotates it as small nucleolar RNA snoR114. The transcript has a single exon. The record is from RefSeq and is a predicted model, not a curated record. NCBI's taxonomy places the organism in Eukaryota, Viridiplantae, Streptophyta, Magnoliopsida, Malpighiales, Euphorbiaceae.
GAGCUGUGAUGAAUGCAGCGCUGAAUGAUGGAUGGGGUCCAUCAGUAUCAUCUGAAUCUAAAGAUGAUAUUUAGCGCAACUGAGCUC